UUGACCUCAAAUCAGGUGGGACUACCCGCUGAACUUAAGCAUAUCAAUAAGCGGAGGAAAAGAAACUAACAGGAUUCCCCUAGUAACUGCGAGUGAAGCGGGAAAAGCUCAAAUUUAAAAUCUGGCGGCUUCACUGUCGUCCGAGUUGUAAUUUAGAGAAGCGUUUUCCGCGCCGGACCGUGUACAAGUCUCCUGGAAUGGAGCGUCAUAGAGGGUGAGAAUCCCGUCUUUGACACGGACGCCCGGUGCUAUGUGAUACGCUCUCGAAGAGUCGAGUUGUUUGGGAAUGCAGCUCAAAAUGGGUGGUGAACUCCAUCUAAAGCUAAAUAUUGGCGAGAGACCGAUAGCGAACAAGUACCGUGAGGGAAAGAUGAAAAGCACUUUGGAAAGAGAGUGAAACAGUACGUGAAAUUGCUGAAAGGGAAACGCUUGAAGUCAGUCGCGUUCGCCGGGAUUCAGCCCCUGUGGUGUACUUUCCGGUGUAACGGGCCAGCAUCACUUUUGAUCAUCGGAAAAUGGCAGAGGGAAUGUGGCACCUUCGGGUGUGUUAUAGCCCUUUGUCGAAUACGGUGGUCGGGAGUGAGGAAUGCCUUUUUUGUAGGAUGCUGGCAUAAUGG
Molecule: ribosomal RNA, 617 nt
Filed under: Vararia amphithallica
Lineage: Eukaryota; Fungi; Basidiomycota; Agaricomycetes; Russulales; Lachnocladiaceae
Description: LSU rRNA
Rfam family: Eukaryotic large subunit ribosomal RNA
Source: RNAcentral